UGGGGCCGGGCUCAAGGCCGGCAGCCUGCUCUCGAGCGCUGCCCCCCGCCGGGCGAGCACGGCCUCCCGAGCCUUUCCUCCCGGGCACAAACAGGUCCCCCCCCAGGUUCCUCAUUGUUUCGAGAUGAUGAAAAUGUCUUUUCCAUCUCUCGGGUUUCAGUUCUGCUUUCCUGGCGAGUGACUGGAGAUCUGCCAUCAAAUACAAUAGCAGCAGGCUUCAGGGGACGCGGAGGUGCGGGCGCCCGCCUUCCUGCGGCCGCGGGAGGGGAAGGCCUGCUGCCUGGGCACGCAGAGAAGAGGCGCCUUGUUCCCGCGCGGGGCGCGGAAUAAGGACUCGUUCACUCAGGAAUAUUCCUGUGACCUGAUGUUACCUCCCUGGGUAGGAGCCUGGCCUGUAACCAGGCUCGCUCCUGAAUUAUGGCUGUAGAAACCCUCGUUACUUUCUCCACUAACUAGAGAGGAAACGUAGGAAAUCAGUUUCCUAUUUUAGGCACCUAAAUUACGUGGUUCAGGACUUGGGAUCUGUUUUGUGUGUUUUGGUGUCUUUCUUUGGUUGCUGAAGAAAAAGCGAGCUGCCUUUUGCUGAGUUUCUGUCUGUUUUCUCCCAUAUGAUUCUAGCCUGUCUUUACUAUUUGUUCCUUCUACCCAGCUUCUGCUUGUUAGAGUGUUAUUUUGGGACCGUAAUUAAUUAGUUCCAGUCCUCAUUCUAUUUCAAGUGCAGCAUUUUAGCUCUAGUUCUGUGCUAAUUGAAAAAUAAUUGCUAUUCUAGAAUUGGAGUCAUUUCUAGAUGUAGUUAAUGAAAUAACAGAAAUGUGAUGCUUCCUAUGCUGACGGGCUGUCUUAAGAUGGUGGAGAAAACUCAUUUUAGUCAGGAAUUUCAAUUUGUAAGAUUUCAGUAAUUUUACGGAUAGAACGCUUUUCUUGCUUGCUUCUCAGCUUGUCAAGGCUGAUGAGCAGAGCAUUUCUGACCCUGCUUCCCCCCCUCAGAAAUGCUUCCCACAGAACGACACCGUGGAGCACUAUAUCCUGCAAAUGCAGGUUCCCAGAAGGACAUUUCUGUUGCAGCUUCAGUAACUUAUGUUUCAGGAUAGUGCGGUCUGCAUCUCCUUCAGAUGAGAUUUUUUUUGUUAAGUAUUUUAAACCUUUUUUAACUUCUAAAAUGUUCAGUUUUGGAGCCUGUAUAUUUUAAAGUUAUCAGUUAUGUAUCUAGAAAGCUGAAUGAUGUCUUGAAUCUUGCUUUUUGACUGAUAAUUCACAUGUGUCGUGACGCUUUUUUUUUUCCCCCAGAUUUGCUAAAAUGUACUUCAGAAGGGAAGAUUUCAAACUGUGCUAAGACUUGUCAAAGUCAAAUUUACCACAGAAAAGCAAAACUGAUUUUGCAAUAAUCUUUAAUCAGGUCACCUAAAAUGUUAAACUUACUUUUAUUUCUAAUAGAAAUCCUUGAAAAAAUGAUACUUACAUUCUGGUACAUAACUAGACUUGUCAGACAUCCAAAUUUGACUGUGCAUGUUUCAGGGUUCAUUAGAGAUCAGGGUUGCAUUGCUGCCUAGUCCAUUAAUAAUCGAAGUCCAAGGGAUUUCGAACCACUAGUUUUGCUAGAACAAAAUUUAACCUUUGCUCCUGGUGUGCACACAGUACCGUUUCCGCCUCCAAUCCACCCCCCAGAAACAGCUGGUGUAGCAGAAAGUUUCCAGUCAGCGCUGCCACCGUAUCUCUUGGAGUGACGCCUGCGGCGGGGAAGGUACAGACUCUUCACAGCUCCGCUUCGGCCUCUGGCUGACCGCCCAAGUGGGACCUCAGGCCUCGUCCGCAGGUUCGUGGUGUUGCUUGUUGGCACAUCGCAGAGCACUGCAGCACUGGAGUCAGUGUGGAAGUGCAUGUGAUGCAAGCCAAAGCAUAUGUUUAUCGUAAAACAUUUCCAUGAAUGUGUGAAGACUUGAAAUUCAAUAGUCUGCUUUAUUUCCCGAGUUUAGAAACAGUACCCAUAGUAAAUAAAUAGGAAAAAAAGGCCUUUUCAUGAUCAAUGUGAUGUGUUGUGUUACAGAAAAAGCAUGGGUCGAUUUAAUUCCGAUAAAUGUAUCUUGAAAGGUUAUUUUAAUACAGAUACUUCCAGGAAAGGCAGCAGUGUUUAAUGAAAUUGCAAUGUUGAAGUGAAAUUGUGCCUGUCUUCUUGCCUUUCGAAGUUUGCAGGAAAACUCCCGCUGACUUCUGUAGGGUCAGGAUUCCACUCCCGAGCCAGUGGGACUGGUUUUGUGCGUGCCACUCAGACUCACAGUGGCUUAGCAUAUCUACCUGCAACAUGACGAAAAGAAACCUACCUCAUGAGCAAAGUGCUGGAUUCAACUUCUGAAAUGACACAGGAAAACAGUCUUGGACUUUCAGAAUCCAGAGUUGAUGUGUUAAUGAAAUAAAAUAGAAAAACAAGAAAAAUACAUGCCUUUUUGGUAACUCUUAAUGAUCAAUUGUCUAAGCAAUGAAUGCUAUCUUGUUUACAUUCAAUAAGUAAACUAUAUUUGUUUGUAUUAGAAUAGGUGAACAGCUGUCACUAUUUUAUCUGCUCUAAAAAGAAAGGCAUGAUAUUGUAAUAGAUCUCUGUUAGCUCUCUUUCACAUUCAUUUACUUCUUCACUCGAUACUGUUACACAUGCAGCAGAGCCCCCUGCUGUCACAAAGACCCUCUGAAAUACUAAAAUGAAAUAAUCUUUCUGCCCUCACCACGGACCUUCUCAGUUAAGAAGACAAAAAAAUCCCAAAGUACCUUCAGAGUUCCGGUUGCAUGGAUUUGGGCUUGAUUUGGGAAUGAAAUCUACAUUCUGCAUAGAAUACAUUUGUGCUUUUGGCAACAGUCCCACUUUAUAUCAAAAAUAAACGUCUUAGGUUUAUGCAUGUCUGGAGAAAAACCUCUGCAGGUAAUAGCAUGCUACAGGCUGAAAGCAAUACGCAGAGAUGGAAAAGAAACAAACCCCACCCUCCAAGACAUAAAUACAAAGAAGAAAAGGAAAACAACACAUUAGCCGAUUUACUAAUUCUGCACUCGCGCGGAAAGCACAAUACACACAUGGGGGAGCCCUAGAUGCUCACGAGUACAGAGGAGCAUGUUCUGCUCUGCUAGCGACCUGGGGCUGGGGCAGCAAACAGGGUGGCUUGGCUCAAAGGGGUGGUAUUUCUGUCUGGGAAUGAGGGGAAGAGUGGAGAGGGCACAGAGCACUUCCAGAUGGAGUCUCCAGGAGGAGGAAGGAUAGGAAAAAUUAGAAUCAAUAGGUUGUACCUUGAUAAGAAAGGAUAUUGACAACAAUAAAAAUACCUGGUUCUUUAUUCAUCAUAAAAGAUUGGUCGUAAGGAUGCAGAGGGUUGGCAUGACAAACUGAGAAUCUGAAAAACACUUUCUAUGACAUAAAUAUUAUUUACCUCAGAAAUUCAGGCCCUGCUGGCAUAGCAAAGGUGUAGUACUAUUCCUGUUGCUUUGAUCCUGGUGGUGGUAGUGCUAUGGUAAUAGUAUGUUGCUGUCUGAGAAUAUUUACCGUGGUCUUCAGGAAGACAAAUUUAUGAAUGAGAUUGUAGGAAGCAUGGUUUUGUGGUUGAGACAUUGGACAGAUUCAGGAAAACUGGAUCAAAUUAAACUGUGUUCCUACGUAUCUUAGGUUUAUCUGUAAGAAGCAAAGUCAAUACUUACAUAUGGUCAUUUUGACUUGUAGUACCUGCAGCAUGUAGAAUACCACUUUAUUUGUGUGGGGAGAUUAUAAUCACAGAGUUCAGAGAAUGAUGUUUCCCUGCUAUCAAUAUUUAGGAUUUUAAAACACUCUUAGUUAUAUUUUGACCAUAUAUAGCAUACCUUAUGAACUGAUUUUUGUUUGUGUGUUAUACACAUAUUCAUUUCAGCACUUUCAUUUCUUAAUAAAUUUUGCUUCUUUUAUGCAUUGUAUUUAAAGUCUAACAGCUCUUUGUUUCAGUGGUGGAAAUCUUAGUUGUAAAAUAGUUUAAUAAGCAUCUGUCCUCAUUUGCUUUAUGUGAGUUAUUUAGAAGCAAAAUCUUGGGGUUAUUUUACUGGAGAAUUUUAUUUUACUGUCUUUUCUUUUUACCUCAGCAAAAACUGAAAUAUAACUGGAGCAGUAACCUCUAUCAGCACUUGCUUUAUCACCUGAAGUCAAAAUCCUUUGUGUUACAACAAUGCAAAAUUUUCCGCAGUGACCAGCUGCGACAUUUGCCAGAGAAAAAGAGAGGUAGGAAAACUGUUUAUCAAACAAGAUUCUUCUGGUUGCGGAAAUCUCAGAAGAGCAUCACAUUAAAUCUAUACAUUUAAGAAGAAUGCAAAAACAAUGGCAAAGAAACAAUACAGCUGAUCUAUUAUCUGAA
Long non-coding RNA from Dromaius novaehollandiae (emu), 4352 nucleotides. RefSeq lists it as uncharacterized. Lineage: Eukaryota; Metazoa; Chordata; Aves; Casuariiformes; Dromaiidae. The record is from RefSeq and is a predicted model, not a curated record. The transcript has 2 exons.